CUGAAUUGAGACAACAUGGUUUAAACCCACAAUUGUUAUAGUAUAGUAUUUCAACUUUUCUCUAGAAUUAACCUGAGUAAGGACUGGUAUGCCAAUAGUAUUACAGUAUAUCCAUAUAGCUUUCAAGUCUCGUGGAUCUGGCGUCGAUUUUGGUUUCUGGACUGUCUUACAUCAGACCUUAAAUAUCACACAUUUUUUUUUCUAGGUAGGCCACUAUUACAGAUGAUCUGAAAUGUGCUCCUAAUUCACCUUAAGUUUUCUUCAAUGUUUUUUUUGCCUGUUCUGUAUUUUAUAGGAUCCAUUUUGUCUAGAUUUAUGCCAGCCAGACACAGCCCCUACACCAAAAGAAAGGAAAGCACUUGAAGACGCCAUGGACUCGGAAGAUAGUUUGCCUGUCAGAUCCAUCGACACCAAAAUGUUGGCAAAAGCAACAACUAGCAGAAGCUGGGCUUGGUGAAAAUAACAUAAAAGUACAUAACAGUAUAAAUCCGGAUGAAUUCCAGGAAGUAAUAUAUGCUAACUUUCCCAAGCUGAUGGAUGCUGGGGGUUUUGAGAUAAUAAUAUGCUUUGGGAGUGGAAAAAAGCUUACCCCAAUUAGGGGGCAUAUUCACCCCUGAAUAUAAAAUAUAAAUCAGGUCAAUGUAGAGUCUAUAUACGACCAAUUCAACAUGCACUAAACAUGGAUUUAGAAAGGAUAAAGAGGCAUAAUAUGAUCAGUUAUCAAUCAAUCAAUCAGUCAAAUUCACCUAUAUAGCGCAAGUAUCCAUUAAAUAAUAUUCAAAGGCGCUCGAGUUAUGUGUGAAUUUGAAACACAUCCUUAAGAAAGUUCUAAUAGAUAAAAUAUAAAAGACAGUUUAUAAAUGAUUAUUAAUACAUCAUUUUUAAUUGUUUACUCUUUUAGGAAAUGAGGACUCUGGAUUGACACAGAAGUGUCCAAAAUGCCAAAAUAACAUUUCAUUCUGUGUUUUAAAGAAACAUUUGGCAAGCUGUGCAAGUAGCAGACCUAGUCCUCCAUCAACAGUAUCCAUACCACCUGAAGAACAGGUUGAAGAAAAUGAUACAUUGUAUGAUCCAGACCUCACUCAUAGUCAUACUCCUAAUGAAGCUCAUGAAGGCGGAUCAAGAACUUCAGACGUCUACUUGAGCUGAACUGCACUACACUUACCGACCAAGCAGUAUGUGACAUUUUGUGUGCAGCUGACAGGGAAGAAUAUAAUAUAUUGUAAAUAAAGUAAUAUAAUGUAAAUAAUUAAAUAAGUAAAAAAUAAUUUAAUAUAUUUGUAAUUAAUGUAUAAUGCAGUAAUUGUUAUUAAACAGUUUCUAUGGUUCUAAUCAAUAAA
Long non-coding RNA from Anneissia japonica, 1340 nucleotides. RefSeq lists it as uncharacterized. Lineage: Eukaryota; Metazoa; Echinodermata; Crinoidea; Comatulida; Comatulidae. The record is from RefSeq and is a predicted model, not a curated record. The transcript has 4 exons.